UACGUAGGGUGCAAGCGUUAAACGGAAUUACUGGGCGUAAAGCGUGCGCAGGCGGUUUUGUAAGUCUGACGUGAAAUCCCCGGGCUCAACCUGGGAAUUGCGUUGGAGACUGCAAGGCUAGAAUCUGGCAGAGGGGGGUAGAAUUCCACGUGUAGCAGUGAAAUGCGUAGAGAUGUGGAGGAACACCGAUGGCGAAGGCAGCCCCCUGGGUCAAGAUUGACGCUCAUGCACGAAAGCGUGGGGAGCGAACAGG
Molecule: ribosomal RNA, 253 nt
Filed under: uncultured bacterium
Lineage: Bacteria
Description: partial 16S ribosomal RNA
Rfam family: Bacterial small subunit ribosomal RNA
Source: RNAcentral